Molecule: long non-coding RNA, 1860 nt
Organism: Lonchura striata (white-rumped munia)
Lineage: Eukaryota; Metazoa; Chordata; Aves; Passeriformes; Estrildidae
Source: Ensembl
AUGGGACAAAGAGCCCGUGCCCCAGUGCUGGGGGGUGCAGGGUGGGGACAGGGGACCCCAGACCCCAGAGCAGGGACAGCUGGGGGACAUCCCUACGGAAGCAAACCUAUGGAAAACUGGGGGCUUCAGCCCCGCCUCGGUGUGCGGGGAAGGGCCGCAGGGACUCGGUGGCUUGUCCCCAAUAAAGUUUUUGGCAGCGCAGCAUGGCCGGGGCUGCGUCGGUGCCACCGCUGGGGCUGUGUCGCUGUCACCACUGGGGUUGUGCCGGUGUCACCGUCACCACCAAGGCUGUGCUGGUGCCACCACUGGGGCUGUGCCAGUGUCACUGUCACCACCAGGGCCAUGUCUGUGCCACCACCGGGUCCGUGCCGUUAUGGCUGUUACCACCAGGGCCAUGCUGGUGUCACCACCGUGUCCGUGCCAGUGCCACUUCUGGGGCCAUGCCGGUGUCACUGCUGUGCUGGUGUUGCUGUCACUGCCAGGGCCAUGCCAGUGCCACCGCUGGGGCCGUGUUGGUGUUGCUGUCACCACCAGGGCCGUGCCAGUGUCACCACCGGGUCCAUGCCGGUGCCGGUGUCACCGCCAGGGUGGUGUCGCUGUCACCACUGGGGCUGUGCCAGUGUCACCAUGCCGGUGUCACUGUGCCAGUGUCAGUGUCACUGUCACCACUGGGGCUGUGCCGGUGUCACCGUGCCAGUGUCGGUGUUGCUGUCACCACUGGGGCUGUGCCAGUGUCACCAUGCCGGUGUCACCGUGCCAGUGUCACUGUGCCAGUGUCACUGUGCCAGUGUCGGUGUCACUGUCACCACUGGGGCUGUGCCGGUGUUGCUGCCGUGCUGGUGUCGCUGUCACCACCAGGGCCAUGUCUGUGUCAGUGUCAGGGCCGUGCUGGUGUCACCAUGCCGGUGUCAGUGUCGCUGUCACCAUCAGGGCCAUGCCGGUGUUACCGUGCCAAUGUUGGUGUCACUGUCACCGCCAGGGCUGUGCCAGUGUCACCGUGACGGUGUCGGUAUCAUCAUGCCGGUCCCUGUGUCGGUGUCCCCGCUGGGGCUGUGCCGGUGUCACCGUGCCGGUGUCACCGUGCCGGUGUCGGUGUCAUCAUGCCGGUCCCUGUGUCGGUGUCGCUGUCACCACCGGGGCCGUGCCGGUGUCACCGUGCCGGUGUCACCGUGCCGGUCCCUGUGUCACUGUUACCGCUGGGGCCGUGCCGGUGUCACCGUGCUGGUGUCGGUGUCGCUGUCACCGUGUCGGUGUAGCUGUCACCGUGCCGGUGUCAAUGUCACCGUGCCGGUGUCACCGUGCCGGUGUCGGUGUCACUGUCACCAUGUCGGUGUAGCUGUCACCGUGCCGGUGUCAAUGUCACUGUGCCGGUGUCACCGUGCCGGUGUCGGUGUCGCUGUCACCAUGCCGGUGUCAAUGUCACCGUGCCGGUGUCACCGUGCCGGUGUCACCGUGCCGGUGUCACCGUGCCGGUGUCGGUGCCGGUGUCACCGUGCCGGUGUCGGUGUCGCUGUCACCGUGCCGGUGUCGGUGUCAAUGUCACCGUGCCGGUGUCGCUGUCACCGUGCUGGUGUCAAUGUCACCGUGCCGGUGUCGCUGUCAAUGUCACCGUGUCGCUGUCGCUGUCACCGUGCCGGUGUCAAUGUCACCGUGCCGGUGUCGCUGUCACCGUGCCGGUGUCGCUGUCAAUGUCACUGUGCCGGUGUCGGUGUCGCUGUCACCGUGCCGGUGUCGCUGUCAAUGUCACGGUGUCGCUGUCGCUGUCACCGCCGGGCCGCUGUCGCCCUCUGCCGCCGCCCGGCCGCCACUGCAGGGGGACGCGGGGGGCUCGGGGUGUCCCGGGGGGAGAACCGGGACUGA